This is a long non-coding RNA of Sycon ciliatum, 833 nucleotides long. RefSeq lists it as uncharacterized. NCBI's taxonomy places the organism in Eukaryota, Metazoa, Porifera, Calcarea, Leucosolenida, Sycettidae. The record is from RefSeq and is a predicted model, not a curated record. The transcript is spliced from 3 exons.
CACACACACACACCACACACACCACACACACACACACACACACCACACACACACACACACACACACACACACACACACACACACACACACACACACACACACACACACACACACACACACACACACACACACACACACACACACACACACACACACACACACACACACACACACACACACACUUCCCCGGCGAGCUUAGGUGUGUGCAAGUCAUAGCACAGGUACAGGUAAUCACGAAAUUCACUUUUCCAGAGCGAAGGGCGAUACAUGUAUGCCUGCUUGUGGCGUGCGUUUCGGCUACGAGAGCAGGAGCAGCGAAAGCAGGUUUUGGAUUGAUCCGGCCAUACCAUAGUCAGCGUUCCAGGCGGUUACACAUGACCUCCUCGCCAGCAAACAUGCGCUGGUGGCCAAACAACUACUUGUUCCGCCUGACCAACUAGAUCAGUUUCGCAGCGCUUGACGUGUCGAACAUCUUCUACCAGCUGUUCCUGGAGUUCGUCGACACUUUGCUUGGCGGCUGAACGAUGACACAUUGACUUUGAGUUUGAUGGGGUGAGUCUUAUCGUCGUAUCGUUUGCACCAGGGGCUGCGAGAUGCUGAGGGACUGGGAAUGUUGCGCGGCUAAGCCCCCUUCCAGACAUGGAAAGGUGAGAACGCAGUGCUCGGACAUCGGAGAGCUCGGCAUGGCCGCAUUCUCCAGCCAUUACUCUGGAUGAGGCAGUGCGAAGGUCAUCCAGCACAACAGUGGCAUGGAUUCAGGUUUGGAGAUUUAAUUACUUCAAUUUUUUGCAUUGAGCACGCUAUCGAACCGGAGGACUCCGCUCUCUGCACGU